Molecule: small nuclear RNA, 107 nt
Organism: Diceros bicornis minor
Lineage: Eukaryota; Metazoa; Chordata; Mammalia; Perissodactyla; Rhinocerotidae
Source: RefSeq, a predicted model, not a curated record
GUGCUCGCUUCAGCAGCACAUAUACUAAAGUUGGAACAAUAUAGAGAAGAUUACCAUGGCUCCUGUACAAGGAUGACAUGCAUAUUUGUAAAGCAUUCCACAUUUUU